Molecule: long non-coding RNA, 4713 nt
Filed under: Ovis aries (sheep)
Lineage: Eukaryota; Metazoa; Chordata; Mammalia; Artiodactyla; Bovidae
Description: lncRNA (ENSOARG00000026964.1)
Source: RNAcentral
UAAACUCAAUAAUUCUAACAACAUCUGCCCCUUGGGUGAAUAAAUAACCCGGCACCUUCUCACCAGUGGCAUCAGGCCACAGGGUAAUCUUCAGUACACCGUCUCCCACAGGCACAGAGAGGCAAAAGCCUUCUCCCAUCACAGCUUCCAGAUUUUCCGCUCUCAACAAGCAGUGCGUCCAGUUGGACCUGAGAAUAUAUCGCCUGCUGCCAGUUGCUCCUGAGCCACCUCUAAAUUCGAGGGCCAGCUCUCCAUUGAGCAAGGCUGAAAGCAAGUCACUUGGAGGCCUGUUUCCUCCGCAGGUCCACUGCCACAUCGGUGCCCCCCACCCCCGCCCCCUGUGCCUGGGACUCCGCGGGACUCCUGGCACCAGAUUCCCUUCCACAGCGGGGACAGUCAGUCACCGCUCCUACCAACGCUGUCAAAAUAUGAUAAGGAAGCAUGGGAGCCACCUUGCUGUCCCCUAAUACUACAAGGACCUUUAGGACUUCUGUGGACAGUCUUCAAGGAGUCUCUGAUCCUACUGAACACGGCCAUAAGCUUCAGUGCAAAUAGAUAUUCUACUGCUCUCAACAGAUCUUCAAAAGGGACUUGGCCUGCCUACAAUAUGAUGCAUUUUUCUGUACUCUUUUUUUUCUCUUCCAAGGGACACUUGUUGGUCUCCUUGACAAUAGUUUUGUAUUACUCUUUGGGGUUCCCUGGUGGCUCAGAGGUUAAAGCGUCUGCCUGCAAUGCGGGAGACCUUGGUUCAAUCCCUGAGUCAGAAAGAUCCCCUGGAGAAGGAAACGGCAACCCACUCCAGGAUUUUUGCCUGGAGAAUCCCAUGGAUGGAGAAACCUGGUGGGCUACAGUCCACGGGGUGGCAAAGAGUCGGACAUGACUGAGUGACUUCACUUCACUUUCACUUUGGGUAGGUAUUCUCUUCUCUUCACAAUGGCAAUUUCAAUCUUUGUUAACCUGGUCGAGAACUCUCCGUUUCAACCUUUCAGAGCUUUGUGAAGAGCACUAAAUAAACACUUUUCCGAAAAAGCUCCUCUAGUGUGUGAACACCAGUUACAUUAGGGUGGGGGCUCACUGAAUUUGGAGUCAACACUGGAAACAUGUAAGAAGAGAAAACCUUUCCUUUCCCAUGUUUUCCUCCUUUUAAACUUAGCUUCAUGCUUGGGACCCCAAGAAUCUGAAUGAAGAAAGCGAAAAGGUCAAAACCACAUCAUUCUAAAUACAUAGUGAUUCAAAUACAUGUAGAGAACUGUAAAGAAGCUCAUGCAACUAGCAGCAAACUACAAAUGCUUAGAAGGGGAUUUAUCAUGUACAAAUUGUGGAUCCAUCUCCAUUGUCCUGGUGGCUCCAACCAGGGAAUAUGUCUGUCCCCUUGUUGACAUAGGCCAUGCUAGAACAAAGAAAGUUGAUGACAUAAACACAUCCUUUUCCCAGCACUUGAGUGUGUGUGAUUUAACCUUUAACUCUUGCUUGUUGAUGUAGGUGAGAUGUCAAAUACUUUCUACUGAGCUGUUGGCAACUCUUUAAAGUGUUUUCAUCACUCUUGCACUAAGAUGAGUCCAGGGUCAGUCUAACCCAUCAUUGUAAUCUCAUUGUAAUCGAGUCACCUCCCCCACCCUCUCUUUUCUUUCUCUGCCACUUCCUCCAGACCUCAACAGGAAAGCGGUGACAAAGACCAGGGAUCAGCCUGGCCGUCACUGUAAAUCUGCAGUUACUUCAAGUGUUGCUUCCUGUUUUUGAAAAACUACAUUCCUAGCACGGAAUAGAGACUGAGGUCUUGUGACCAACUGUGAACAAAUGAUGUAAACUGUGACACAAACAAUAGGGAGUCCAUAUCAGAUACUGUAAGCCAGUUUUCAUCCUCCUUUAAUUCUUUAGACUUAGAAAUAAAUCCUCUUACUUCCUUUAGAUCACACCUGCCAUAAAAAGAAAAAACCACGCUUUUUACCCACUUCACACCUAAACCCAUUCCAUCUUUCCUGAGGCUGAACCUAAACCCAUCUUGUCUACUCAAAGAUUUAAAUGGACAUAUUUCUAUUUAAUGUUUAAGCCAAAAGUAUAAAGUUCUUGCUAGUUUUGUCUUUGCAAGACAAAAUCCUUGCACCACCAAAAAAGGGGAAAAAGCAUAAGAAUUCUCAGCAGUGUAAUUUCAUAUAUAUUUUUUUCUUAGUAGUCAUUCUUGUUAUUUUAGAGCUAGUAGACAAUUCUGCUAAAAGAAUUGACACUUUAGAUGAGAGCAAAAUAGCUGCACAUAUAUAUAUAACACAUACCUGGAGAAAUAAACUUGAAUAGACUAGAUACUACCAUCAGCAUUUUCGUCAUUUCAGUCUGGAGCUUGCACUCAUUUCUUGGAAAGGAAAUUUCUGUCUCAUUAGAGAGAAAUGAUUAUGCCAAAUGUACAAAAAUAACAGUGGGAGGUGGUGGUGGGGGUAGGAUGGAGGAAGGUCACUGCAUGACUCAGAGAGGUUUGGCUUCUAUAAUUAAUAUUUUUAAGCUAUUUUACUUCAUAUUUGAAAUAGAAUUAUAUGAUUAGAAGGGGGAAAAGUUACACACAGCUAAAAUGGGGUUUCUUAAUCACGCACAUACAUGUAGUACUAUCAUAUAGCAAAAUUGGGAUGUGUCAAAACUAUAUAUAUAUACAUAUUUAUAUAGAUCUGUAAGUACAUACAGACAUACAUAUAAUCAUACCUAGCUAAAGUAGGGUAUGUCUUUUAUGGUUUAUUAAGCAUAGAUUUCUAUUUUAUUUACUUAUUUAUUUUUUUGUAUGUGAUUCUAUACUAAAAAAGCAAUAUUCUGAAGGCUAUUGUUGUGACAAAGUAAACACUACUCAUUUUACAUAAGCAAACACACUUGCCAAGGUAAAUAUCCCAUUACAGUCAAAAUGGAGCCAACAUGAGUGUAUUAAAAUUAGCCAGAAAUUUUGGAGGAAAAAGCAGGAAGUUGGGUGGGAUGGAGAAGCUGCAUAUGAAUGGAAUGGAUUACACAAGCCCGGUUUGGGGAAUCACAAAUUCCAAGUGCUUCUAUGGAGUCCUCGACCUGGCUAAAAAUAGCUUUGAUGUACAAUGACUUAGUAUAUUUAUUUUUAUUGAAGUAUAGUAGAUAUACAAUGUUGUGUUAUUUCAGGUGUACAGUGAAGUGAUUCAAUUAUACAUAUUUGUGUGUGUAUAUAUACAUAUUAUUUUUCAGAUUCUUUUCCAGUAUAGUUUAUCCAAGAUAGUGAACAUAGUUUCCUGUGCUAUAUGGUAGGUCCUUGUUGUUCAUCUGUUUUAUAUAUGGUACUGUAUAUCUGUUAACCCUGAUCUCCCCCCUUCCCCUUCUGUAACCAUAAGUUUGUUUUCUAUGCCUGUGAGUCUAUUUCACAAAUAAGUUAAUUUGUAUCAUUUUUAAACAUAAAGAUCAUUUAUCAUUUUUAAAUCAUCUAUGCCACAUAAGAAAAAAUUAUCUCAGUUGAACUAUCUUCUUGGCAACUCAAUAAAAACUUUGUUUGUUUUAAUUCAUUCAUUCAUUUCAAUCGUGGGCUAAUUAAUUUACAAUAUUGUGGUGGUUUUUGUCAUACAUUGACGUGAAUCAGCCAUGAGUGUACAUGUAUCCCUCUGUCCUGAACCUCCCUCCCGCCUUCCUCCCCAUCCCAUCCCUCUGGGUUGUUCCAGUGCACCAGCUUUGAGUGUCCUGAUUCAUGCAUUGAACUUGGACUAGUCAUCUAUUUCACAUAUGGAAAUAUACAUGUUUCAGUGCUAUUCUCUAAAAUCAUCGCACCCUCUUCUUCUCCCACAGAGUCCAAAAGUCUGUUCUUUAUAUCUGUGUCUCUUUUGCUGUCUCACAUAUAGGGUUGUCAUUGUGAUCUUUCUAAAUUCCAUACAUAUGUGUUAAUAUACUGUAUUGGUGGUUUUCUUUCUGACUUACCUCAUUCUAUAUAAUCGGCUCCAGUUUCAUCCACCUCAUUAUAACUGACUCAAAUGUGUUCUUUUUAAUAGCUAAGUAAUAUUCCUUUGUGUAUAUGUACCACAGCUUUCUUACCCAUUCAUCUGCUGAUGGACAUCUAGGCUGCUUCCAUAUCCUGGCUAUUAUAAACAGUGCUGCAAUGAACAUUGGGGUACACGUGUCUCUUUCAGUUCUGCUUUCCUCGGUGUGUAUGCCCAGCAGUGGGAUUGCUGCGUCAUAUGGCAGUUUUAUUUCCAGUUUUUCAAGGAAUCUCCACACCGUUCUCCAUAGUGGCUGUACUAGUUUGCAUUCCCACCAACAGUGUAAGAGGUUUCCCUUUUCUCCCCACCCUCUCUAGCAUUUAUUGUUUGUAGACUGUUCAAUAGCAGCCAUUCUGACUGGCGUGAGUUGGUUCCUCACUGUGGUUUUGAUUUGCAUUUCUCUGAUAAUGAGUGAUGUUGAGUAUCUUUUCAUGUGUUAGUUAGCCAUCUCUAUGUCUUCUUCAGAGAAAUGUCUGUUUAGUUCUUUGGCCCCUUUUUUUAUUUUUCUGGUAUUGAACUGCAAGUGCUGCUUGUAUAUUUUUAAGAUUAAUUCUUUGUCAGUUGCUUCAUUUGUUAUUAUUUUCUCCCAUUCUGAAGGCUGUCUUUUUACCUUGCUUAUAGUUUCCUUCAUUGUGCAAAAGCUUUUAAGUUUAAUUAGGUCCCCUUUGUUUAUUUUUGCUUUUAUUUACAUUACUCUGGGAGGUGGGUCACAGAGGAUCUUGCUGUGGUUUUUGUCAGAGGUUUCCCUAUG